Molecule: small RNA, 86 nt
Filed under: Weissella paramesenteroides ATCC 33313
Lineage: Bacteria; Bacillati; Bacillota; Bacilli; Lactobacillales; Lactobacillaceae
Description: RNA anti-toxin A
Rfam family: RNA anti-toxin A
Source: Rfam by way of RNAcentral
UAAUGUGAAUAGAAAAAAGGAGCCCUGUGCAAUCAGGACUCCUUUUAGAACCGUUAGACGGUAGCAAAUCUAAAGUUUAAAUAACC